AGAAUCAACGCUGGCGGCGUGCCUAACACAUGCAAGUCGAACGAGAAAGUGGAGCAAUCCAUGAGUAAAGUGGCGCACGGGUGAGUAACACGUGACUAACCUACCCUUGAGUGGGGGAUAACCUCGGGAAACCGGGGCUAAUACCGCAUAAUAUCGAGAGAUCAAAGGAGCAAUUCGCUUAAGGAGGGGGUCGCGGCUGAUUAGCUAGUUGGUAGGGUAAUGGCCUACCAAGGCUAUGAUCAGUAUCCGGCCUGAGAGGGCGCACGGACACACUGGAACUGAAACACGGUCCAGACUCCUACGGGAGGCAGCAGUGGGGAAUUUUGCGCAAUGGGGGAAACCCUGACGCAGCAACGCCGCGUGGAGGAUGAAGUCCCUUGGGACGUAAACUCCUUUCGAUCGGGACGAUAAUGACGGUACCGGAAGAAGAAGCCCCGGCUAACUUCGCGCCAGCAGCCGC
RNAcentral lists this ribosomal RNA (460 nucleotides) under uncultured bacterium. Its description in RNAcentral is "SSU rRNA". It matches the Rfam family "Bacterial small subunit ribosomal RNA", at positions 26 to 518 of the family's 1533-position model. The record is from RNAcentral.